ACAGAGGGGGCCAGCGUUAUUCGGAAUUAUUGGGCGUAAAGGGCGCGUAGGUGGCCAUGCGUGUCUUCCGUGAAAUCCCUCGGCUUAACCGAGGACGUGCGGAAGAAACUGCAAGGCUCGAGUCCGGAAGAGGGGGGCGGAAUUCCCAGUGUAGCGGUGAAAUGCGUAGAUAUUGGGAGGAACACCAGUGGCGAAGGCGGGUUGCUGGGCUGACACUGACGCUGAUUGUGCGAAAGCCAGGGGAGCAAACGGGA
RNAcentral lists this ribosomal RNA (254 nucleotides) under uncultured prokaryote. RNAcentral's name for it is "partial 16S ribosomal RNA". It matches the Rfam family "Bacterial small subunit ribosomal RNA", at positions 525 to 777 of the family's 1533-position model. The record is from RNAcentral.